This 253-nucleotide ribosomal RNA is filed under the name uncultured bacterium. RNAcentral describes it as "partial 16S ribosomal RNA". It matches the Rfam family "Bacterial small subunit ribosomal RNA", at positions 524 to 776 of the family's 1533-position model. The record is from RNAcentral.
UACGAAGGGUGCAAGCGUUACUCGGAAUUACUGGGCGUAAAGCGUGCGUAGGCGGUGAGUUAAGUCUGAUGUGAAAUCCCCGGGCUCAACCUGGGAAUGGCAUUGGAUACUGGCUCGCUAGAGUACGGUAGAGGGUGGUGGAAUUCCCGGUGUAGCAGUGAAAUGCGUAGAGAUCGGGAGGAACAUCUGUGGCGAAGGCGGCCACCUGGACCAGUACUGAUGCUGGGGCACGAAAGCGUGGGGAGCAAACAAG